AUAAGUCUUUAAAUAAAGGCCUAAGACCUGGCAAGAGAGGAGAUAUAAGGAGAUACAGGAGUUAAGAAGGAGAUACAGGAGAUACAGGAAAUACAGAGUUAAUAAGGAGAUACAGGACCAGACGAUGCCAGGCUGGACCAAUUAAGAAACUGCGUGAGUGUCUCUUCAUGGCUUCUCGUCCGCCGCUACCCCUUCAGGGAGCCCUGGACCCACCGGAGCGGGUCUCCAGCAAAAUAUGGGCUGCAGCUGCUGAAAAGGAAUCUGAUAUACACUAGCCUUACUACAUCGCUAAGAGUUUGACGUUGACCUCUUCUGGGUCUCAUGCCAAUCAAAGAUCACUUGCCCUGGAGGGAGUCAGCAGCCGUGUCACAAGGACGCUCUAGCAGUUCACAAAGACCCACACGGGGGUGGAACGAAGGCCUCCUGCCAACACCCAUUCCUGUGUGAUCCAUGUUGGAGGCGGUUAAUCUAGCUCGAGUCAAGCCUCCAGACGAUGCGGCCGCAGCUGAUAUCUUAACUACAACCUCAAGAAAGACCUUGAACCAGAGCCAUCCAGCCAAGCCGCUCCGACUUCCUGACCCAUGGAGCAGUAUGAGAUAAAAAUUCUUGUUUUAUGUGUCCAAGUUUUGGGAGUAAUUUGUUAUCCACAAAUAUUAUAUUAUAUCUAGAACUAACAUAUGAGAUAUUUUAUAACUAAUAUACCAUAGAUCCUGGUAUAGACACUAUAAAUAGUUGUUAAUAAGUCAAUAAGUAG
Molecule: long non-coding RNA, 754 nt
Organism: Suricata suricatta (meerkat)
Lineage: Eukaryota; Metazoa; Chordata; Mammalia; Carnivora; Herpestidae
Exons: 3
Source: RefSeq, a predicted model, not a curated record